RNAcentral lists this ribosomal RNA (271 nucleotides) under uncultured bacterium. Its description in RNAcentral is "partial 16S ribosomal RNA". It matches the Rfam family "Bacterial small subunit ribosomal RNA", at positions 524 to 794 of the family's 1533-position model. The record is from RNAcentral.
UACGGAGGGUGCGAGCGUUAAUCGGAAUUACUGGGCGUAAAGCGCACGUAGGUGGUUCGUUAAGUCGGAUGUGAAAUCCCUGGGCUCAACCUGGGAGCUGCAUUUGUGACUGCAUGGCUAGAGUACGGUAGAGGGGGAUGGAAUUCCGCGUGUAGCAGUGAAAUGCGUAGAUAUGCGGAGGAACACCGAUGGCGAAGGCAAUCCCCUGGACCUGUACUGACGCUCAUGCACGAAAGCGUGGGGAGCAAACAGGAUUAGAAACCCCUGUAGU